Molecule: ribosomal RNA, 253 nt
Filed under: uncultured bacterium
Lineage: Bacteria
Description: partial 16S ribosomal RNA
Rfam family: Bacterial small subunit ribosomal RNA
Source: RNAcentral
UACGUAGGGUGCAAGCGUUAAUCGGAAUUACUGGGCGUAAAGCGUGCGCAGGCGGUCGUGCAAGACAGAUGUGAAAUCCCCGGGCUCAACCUGGGAACUGCAUUUGUGACUGCACGGCUGGAGUGCGGCAGAGGGGGAUGGAAUUCCGCGUGUAGCAGUGAAAUGCGUAGAUAUGCGGAGGAACACCGAUGGCGAAGGCAAUCCCCUGGGCCUGCACUGACGCUCAUGCACGGAAGCGUGGGGAGCAAACAGG